This 164-nucleotide unclassified non-coding RNA is filed under the name uncultured Aspergillus. RNAcentral describes it as "sequence contains ITS2". Lineage: Eukaryota; Fungi; Ascomycota; Eurotiomycetes; Eurotiales; Aspergillaceae. The record is from RNAcentral.
CUGCCCUCAAGCCCGGCUUGUGUGAUGGGCCGCCGUCCCCCGAUCCCGGGGGACGGGCCCGAAAGGCAGCGGCGGCACCGUCCGGUCCUCGAGCGUAUGGGGCUUUGUCUUCCGCUCUGUAGGCCCGGCCGGCUGCUGGCCGACACCUCAAUCUAAUUUUUCCA